GACGAACGCUGGCGGCGUGCCUAAUACAUGCAAGUUGAGCGCUGAAGGUUGGUACUUGUCCCAACUGGCUGAGCAGCGAACGGGUGAGUAACGCGUGGGGAAUCUGCCUUUGAGCGGGGGACAACAUUUGGAAACGAAUGCUAAUACCGCAUAAAAACUUUAAACACAAGUUUUAAGUUUGAAAGAUGCAAUUGCAUCACUCAAAGAUGAUCCCGCGUUGUAUUAGCUAGUUGGUGAGGUAAAGGCUCACCAAGGCGAUGAUACAUAGCCGACCUGAGAGGGUGAUCGGCCACAUUGGGACUGAGACACGGCCCAAACUCCUACGGGAGGCAGCAGUAGGGAAUCUUCGGCAAUGGACGAAAGUCUGACCGAGCAACGCCGCGGGAGUGAAGAAGGGUUUCGGAUCGUAAAACUCUGUUGGUAGAGAAGAACGUUGGUGAGAGUGGAAAGCUCAUCAAGUGACGGUAACUACCCAGAAAGGGACGGCUAACUACGUG
RNAcentral lists this ribosomal RNA (497 nucleotides) under uncultured bacterium. Its description in RNAcentral is "partial 16S ribosomal RNA". It matches the Rfam family "Bacterial small subunit ribosomal RNA", at positions 28 to 507 of the family's 1533-position model. The record is from RNAcentral.